This 207-nucleotide small RNA is filed under the name uncultured Bacteroides sp. Its description in RNAcentral is "Bacteroides sRNA BTnc231". It matches the Rfam family "Bacteroides sRNA BTnc231". Rfam says of the family: An uncharacterized small RNA discovered in Bacteroides thetaiotaomicron Lineage: Bacteria; Pseudomonadati; Bacteroidota; Bacteroidia; Bacteroidales; Bacteroidaceae. The record is from RNAcentral.
ACGUUUUUUUCAUAGAGAUUUAGAUUUAAGGUUAGAAGAAUUGUGGAAGUCGUGAGACUUCCCUUUUUUUCAUCUUAACGUUUACUAUUCUUCAUUAUAGGAAUGCAAAGACACUUUUGUUAGUGGUCAAUCUCAAUUAAUUAUUGCAGGAUGAUGAUGCAGAGUAAGUAAACCUAAAAAGCCUUCUUCGUGAGAAGAGGCUUUUUU